This 254-nucleotide ribosomal RNA is filed under the name uncultured bacterium. RNAcentral describes it as "partial 16S ribosomal RNA". It matches the Rfam family "Bacterial small subunit ribosomal RNA", at positions 524 to 776 of the family's 1533-position model. The record is from RNAcentral.
CACGUAGGGGGCAAGCGUUGUCCGGAAUCAUCGGGCGUAAAGAGCUCGUAGGCGGCUCAGUAAGUCGGGUGUGAAACCUCCAGGCUCAACCUGGAGACGCCACCCGAUACUGCUGUGGCUAGAGUCCAGUAGGGGAGUGUGGAAUUCCUGGUGUAGCGGUGAAAUGCGCAGAUAUCAGGAAGAACACCCGUGGCUAAGGCGGCUCUCUGGGCUGGAACUGACGCUGAGGAGCGAAGGCGUGGGUAGCAAACAGG